CAUGGCCUAAAGUAUAAUUCAUUUUAGAGGAAAAUGAAUUAAUAUUGACGCCCUGUUCUUUGUUUAGAUAUCCAAUUGUUCUCUCUCACAUCCAGAUUCUCUGUGACCACCAAACCUCACCCCACCUUACCUCAGCGCAGACCACCGUCGCUCGCCAUCGCCACCUCCACCGCCGCAAAUCACCACCGGCAUCGUCGCAUCCUCACAGAUUCUCUUUUGCUCUCUCGGUCUCGUUUGCAGAAUUGCUUCGUCUUGGAGGGAGGAAGUUGGGAUUUUUAAUCAUUAAAUGGAUUAUACCAAUUAUGCUUCUCAAAUAUUUUAUCCUUUAUGCCUUCCCUUUUGGUGGUG
Camellia sinensis is the source of this 348-nucleotide non-coding RNA. The record is from RefSeq and is a predicted model, not a curated record. NCBI's taxonomy places the organism in Eukaryota, Viridiplantae, Streptophyta, Magnoliopsida, Ericales, Theaceae.